Acanthosepion pharaonis is the source of this 114-nucleotide non-coding RNA. NCBI's taxonomy places the organism in Eukaryota, Metazoa, Mollusca, Cephalopoda, Sepiida, Sepiidae. The record is from the annotation of a GenBank genome assembly.
UUAUGGCCAUAUCACAUUGAAACAUUGGUUCUCAUAUGAUCACGAAAGUUAAGCAAUGUCAAGCCUGGUCAAUACCUAGAUGGGUAGCUGCUUAGGAAUACCAGGUGCUGUAAG